This 31-nucleotide non-coding RNA is filed under the name Rattus norvegicus (Norway rat). The record is from RNAcentral. Lineage: Eukaryota; Metazoa; Chordata; Mammalia; Rodentia; Muridae.
UCUGCAGUCUUUGCCACAAUGGUGGUUUUAA